Molecule: long non-coding RNA, 5552 nt
Organism: Mastomys coucha (southern multimammate mouse)
Lineage: Eukaryota; Metazoa; Chordata; Mammalia; Rodentia; Muridae
Exons: 3
Source: RefSeq, a predicted model, not a curated record
GAGGGGCUCCUGCUGGAACUCUUUGCAGGUCAGCUCCUUUGUCUCUGGAUGGAUCUAAGUAGAACCCCCCGCCCCAAUCCAGUCCAAAUCUGGGAGAGGAACCAUGCCUUGGAACUAAGAAACUGGAAAGCUGAGUCUUCUGCUUAGAGGCAGCCAGGCAAACCUCCGGGGUGGUGGAUCAGCCAGAGCAAAUGUGGGGUAAGCCUCCAGGCUUCUUCCAGCUUCUUAACCUGGCUACUCUCUAGGACUCUGUGAAGGAUGACAGUGUGUCCUUUACCCCAGCUAACCUUAUUGGCUUCAAGAUUGAGCCCUCCUAUAGAGGGUGGCCUUGACUUCUACCACUGUAGACAAAGCCAACUUGCCUACCAGUCUCUGAGCCUAUAAGCAACAGAAAUGAAGCGAAGAUAGCAGUUAAGAAGAAACAAGAGGACCCGAGGUUCAAAGUAACUCUGUAGGAUAAUGGUGAACUAUACGGUGGCUUAUAGCUUUGGCACUAGGACACCAAACAGCUAGGAAGUUGGCUGGGCCAGAUUGCAGGAGUGCUCACAAAGCCUGGAGUAAGUGACGAAUAGGUAGACAGCAGUGACAUUGAGCCCAAGACAUUGGCCCUUUUGGAUGCUGGAAAACAUUGGCUCAGUCUAGAAGGCUCUGUCCCAUCUUUCCCCACAUGAGCUUACUACUUGUCCCCAAGUCACAUAAAAUGAAGAAGCACUCUAUUCCCAAGGGCAUCGAUACAGUAUUGAAGUCAGAGUGAGAAUCCCAAUUGGCCUGAGUGGAGACGAGUUUCCGAGAAGACCUCUACGGAUGUGGAUGCCCACAUGGAGAGAGCACAUGGCUUUAUGUUAAGGAUGCUGAAUCUAGAAAUCUGUUACAGCUGCUUUACAAAUGUAAGCCCACAUCUGAACAAAUAGGCACAGAAAGGAAGGCAGUGGCUGGAACUUCCACCGUGUCCUCAUGCUCCCUUCUCUAUUUUCCCCAAAGAACACAAAAACAGUUCAAUCCAACAAACACUCCUCUGGAAUGUUUCUAACUACCUCCAAAUUAAAGAAAUUAAGUUCAGCAAAGCAUGUCAGGAUGUCCAUAUUGUCCUUCUGACUUGGAGGCAAUGGCAUUGCUGCAAGGUUGCAGUGACAACCAAAUGCCAGCACACUGGUGCAGUGCUCAGAGCAAAGCCUGGCCCACAGUAACAGGAUCUCCACUUGCCUGAGCCUUGGCACAGCCUCCUGGGGGAAGGCCCUACUACUGGCCUGUUAGGCAGAUUAGGGUGAAUGACUGGCUCAAGACUUCCUGGUCCGAAUGCAGAGAAGCCAAGGCGCACCGCAUAUCUAUAUGACCCCCGACCAACUUCCUUCCUUGAAGGUUUAAGUCUACCUUCAAGCUGUGUGCCUAGCUUACUCUGUCCUCACAGCAUCUCCCUCUGUCCUGCCUUGCAUCUGGUCUGGACGGGAAUCUCAGCUGUGUGACCUUAGGCGGCUGGCAGUAUGAUCUGAGGUCACCCAGCAUAGCUGUGACAACGGGGUGGGCAUCAGGAAUUUGCACCCGUCACUCUAGGGGCUAGAAGGAACACAAUUAUGGAGCUGAGAGCUUAGCCCCUACCAUAUUCUUCUUUAUCCCCUCUCCUUUCUGGGCCCCAGCUUUCUUGUCUGUUGAAUGGGAAAGGGACAAGAUGGUCCCUGAGCUGCUGUCCGGAGCUGAUAAUGGGAUUCUGUAUGAAUUCCAAGGAGCAGAGUGGCCACAAAAGCAUCCGCCCUGCACUGAUGGGCUCUUUUCUCCAGGAAGCCGUUUGCACUCUGCCCUGGGUCUCAAGUGCAUUUUAUCCAGACUCUCCUCCUUAGAGAAGGGGAGGGAUAAACCAGAAGCAUCUCAAAGCCAGACCCUGGUCUUCAGAGACAUGAUAGACACCAAUCCUGCUUGUGUCUCUCUGGUCUUUCCGGAAGCAGAUGUGAGGGUGGAGGUGAAACCAAGGAGGGGUCUCCGCCUGUGACCACAAGAGGACAGUCUCCACAGGGUUGUGGUCUGGCGCUGGGAAUCCAGAAGAGGAGGAAAGAAAAACCAAAGCAGAGCAACUCUGGCUGUGGCGGCUCAGAAGUCCUGGUAAGCCCGACUUCCGGUAGAGGACUCCCACCUGGCAAGCUGACUUCCGGUGGAGGAAUCCCACCUGGGCCUGAGAGAUUAGUCCCGAGGCCUCUGCUGGACACUAUGGUGGAUGGCGAAGGGGCUGUGAAUGGAGGAUGCCAGAGAACUCAGACCAGAGAAAAGUCCAAGGACAUCAUCUUGUGGCUACCCCACGCUUUCCUUUAUUCAUAUUGUAAACAGAGUUCCAGGCUGCAUGCCAGGGACAGAUCGAUGUACUUAACUCUUACACUUACCCUGGAAGGCAGACAAUAUCAUCAGGCCCAUUUUACAGCAAGGAAAAUUGAGUUCAGAGAGAGUAGGUAACGUGCCCUAGGUUUCACAGCCUGUUACAUGGUGAAUUAUAAUUCUCCUCAAGCAACCUACUCUAGACAUUGGGCCCUCACCACUCCACCACACUGCCUCCCUCCACUCCAGCUGCAAAGACCUAGGCAGAGAUUUCUGGGAACAAAACCACAAAGGGUAAUAAUGCAAACAGACGUUUCCUGAGUGUCUACUGUGUUCCAGGAGCCCAAGCCAGCUAGCCAUGCUGAUUACCUUACAUUAUCAUUGUAUCACCCUCUCCAUUUUUGCAGAUGAAGGAACUAAGGCUCAGAGAGUUGCUUCAACUCACCCAAGGAGACCCAGCUGAGAACCUGACUUAGUCUGAUCAGAGAGCCUGACUACAAAGCCUUCAUCAUAAACCACCAGAGCCUCUCUCUAAGAGACCCAAUAUGCCAGCGCUGGGUGAGUGAGUGGACUCCUGCAGAGAAUGCCCCUCCCCCUCCCACGUCUGCUGCUUUCAUCAUAUCCCCAUCAACCUCUUGCUGGGCAAGAGGCAGGAGCUCAGCAAUCAAUCAAAUGAAAGACUACGUUGCCGUGACCACGCCCCUCUGCUCACCUUUGGCCAAGGCCAGGUGGUUCUUGGAGUGCUUACGCUUUCCUAAGCAUUGGGAUAUCACUGGAUCCCUGCCCUGUCUCCGACACUCUGCCAAGUGUCUUUCCUUCAAAGUUGGAGAUAUUUCUGUCCCUGAAAUGCUCACAUCUCAGCAUCUUGCUGAGAGGUCUUUUGGAAGAGACUGGCUGGUGGGAGGUUGAUCGCCAUGCUCUGCAGGGCUAGGGGACUUGGGACAGGGCUCUGCACCCGGGCUGGGCUGAGUGUGUGUGUGGCUCCGACUCCUGUAGGAGAGCUUCACUUGCAAGCGAGCCAGAUCAGAGGUUCAAAACAAGGGCCCGGGGCAUCACAAGCCAUUUAUGUGAAUGUUUUGUUUUUCAAGACAGGGUUUUUCCAUGUAAACCUGGCUGUCCUGGAAUUCUCUCUGUAUAAUGAGGCUGGUCUCCAACUCACAGACAUCUGCCUGCCUCCCAAGUGCAGGGAUUACAAGCUUGCACCAUUACUGCCCAGCUUGAGUGCUGUGGACUUUGAAUUCAGCAAGCCAGAUUUUUAACCCCAGUACUGCCUUUUCCAGUGGGAGACUGAGCUAGUCGCUUUUGCACUUUGGUAGACUGAGGCUCAUGGUAGCAGUUGCCUUGUCAGACUUAGAGAAGUGUCAGCCUUCAGUAAAAAUGGAUCAUUACCUGAGCAUCCUCAGAGGUCUGGACACCAUCACUUCUCAUCCCCAUUUGACAGCUGGAGAAACUGAGGCAGGAGGCAGCAGAGUGCCUUCCCUGGAUUAUCUGGGCUCUCUGCCAGGCCAGGGUUGGCUCUCCACCACCAGUGAUGGCCUCUCCUGCCCCUUUCUCUCUCUUCCGCACUAGCUGAGCUCAGAACCAUCCGUGGCAGAUGUGAAGGCGGCUGUCAGAGCUGCAGAGUUGGCAUUUCUGGGGCUCCCAGGGUUUCUGGCACAGAGGAAUCAGCCUCACUCAGCGCCUCUGGCUCUGCCUCCUGCUUUCUGCUUUGCUCACAACCCAGCUGGACUCCAUCAGCUUCUGGAGAAAUCUGGAGACUAUCAAUAGUCACCUGUACUUGACCCCAAACUUGCUAGGGUAGAUGACCCUUAAGGGUCAAACCCCUCAAAUGUCCCCACUGUCUAGCCUUCCCUUUAUCUCAUACCAGAUGCAGAGGGAUGGGCACACAGGAGCUAAAGACAUGGGUGAUCUUGGUUCAAAUCUGUUCUGAUGCUACUUAGAAACCAAAUACCCUAGCCAGAGACCUUCCUCUUUGUACUUCUGCCCCAGACAGGAACAGUUACAUCACCCAAACUCACGUAAGAGAUGCGAGAUGUCCCAGCCACUCUUUUAUAGUUCCACUCAUGUGCUUUUGGGCCCAAGGAGCUUUUUCCUCCAUGCUUCUGGCCCUGUGGUAACCAGUUUCUCAUGUUUAGACUCUAUGCUUCCAGCUGAGACAGCACCUCUGGGGUAUGCAGAUCUCCAGUUUCUCUGUCCUCACAUCCAGGAAGAGCCUGGGCAUGCUCAUAUUGGUGUCCAGUUCUUCACAUGAUAUCUCAGGGGACAGUCUCAGUGUGUGCCCACGGUGUGAUCCUAUCAGAAGCACAAGACAGGAGUCUGUGCAUCCUGGUUACUUCCUUAAGUCCCGUCCAGUUGGUUGAUGUUCUCAGAAGAAAGGACUCAGAACUGAGUGCAGAAUUCCAGAGACAGAUGAGAAGUCACAAAGAGAAAAAAAUGGCCCUGUCUUUAUUCCCAGCUAUAUUUUUCUUUUUUUCUGUUUUUUCAAAAUUUAUUUUUAUUGUAUGUGUAUGGGUGUUUUGCCUGCAUGUGUAUCAUGUAUGUGGCUAUGGCCCACAGAGUACAGAAAAAGACAUCUGGUCUCCUAGAACUGGAGUUACUGACAAUUAUGAGCCACUAUAUAUAUAGCUCCUAGUAAUCACAUUGGGACAGAAGCCUUCUAGGAAAGGCUGUGGCAAGCGAGUGAGAUCCCUGGAGAUGGCCCACUAUUUUGCAUGGUUGUGAUGGGUGCUUUGGAAAGCCACGUGCCCAUAAACUUUGUCCAAGAAUUGCUUCUCGAUGCUGAUAGGCCUUUCCUGCCACUAUUACAUAGUCUAAUGAUGCCUGGGCAUCGGCCCACCCAAUUGGGCAAAUUUCCUGCAGAUCAACAUGAAGAUGAACUUUCAUGAAUCAACGCUGUUUAGAUAAAUUAAUGACUUUAUAGCAUUCCUGAUUUGAUUCAACUAAUCUUAGGGAGAAAGUUGAAGGAGAUGGUUUUAGUUGUUUUGCCAGAAAGAUGUAAUAAAGUUAGAAUCAAGAAUAGAAUGUGCUCCCUCCUCAUAGAAUAGUAAGUAAAGGCUGCAUGAUAAGCUUUCAUAAAUUACACUAAGAAUAGAAAUAGGCUUUGGACAGAUUUGUGAUCAAGGAAAAACAUUCAUUCUAGGUCAAGUCCAAGGAUGAAGCCACAGGUGUGCGCUAUGAUAAAGCAAGGCCAUGUGAAACUGUUGCUUUGAACUUAUACUGAGCUUAUAGAAUAAAGUACUGCUUUGAACUUA